Molecule: ribosomal RNA, 441 nt
Filed under: uncultured bacterium
Lineage: Bacteria
Description: partial 16S ribosomal RNA
Rfam family: Bacterial small subunit ribosomal RNA
Source: RNAcentral
CCUACGGGUGGCAGCAGUGGGGGAUAUUGCACAAUGGGGGGAACCCUGAUGCAGCGACGCCGCGUGGGUGAAGGAGUGCUUCGGCAUGUAAAGCCCUAUCGGCAGGGAAGAAGCAAGACGGUACCUGACUAAGAAGCCCCGGCUAACUACGUGCCAGCAGCCGCGGUAAUACGUAGGGGGCGAGCGUUAUCCGGAUUCACUGGGUGUAAAGGGAGCGUAGACGGCCAUGCAAGCCAGGGGUGAAAGCCCGGGGCCCAACCCCGGGACUGCCCUUGGAACUGCAUGGCUGGAGUGCGGGAGGGGCAGGCGGAAUUCCUGGUGUAGCGGUGAAAUGCAUAGAUAUUACACAGAACACCGAUUGCGAAGGCAGCUUGCUAGGCCGGAUCUGACACUGAUGCACGAAAGCGUGGGGAUCGAACAGGAUUAGAUACCCUGGUAGUC